CACGCACACACACACACACAAUGCAUCCCUAUACACACAGAAACACAACAUGCUUCCCUUACACACAGAAAAACACACAAUGCAACCCUUACACAUAAAGACAAUGCAUCAUUUGCACAUAUACACAGAAACACACAAUGCAUUCCUUACACACACAUGCAAACACACACUGCUUCUCUUACACACACACAGAAACACAAUGCAUCUCUUACACACACCUUACAGAAACACACUUUGCAUCCCUUAUGCAUACAAACACAGAUUCACACAAUGCAUCCCUUACACAAAACAAGAAACACACAAUACAUCCCUGAUACACACACACACACACUGCUUCCACUACACACAAACACACUGCAUCACCUACACAAACUGGUAUCCCUAUACACUACAUUACGUAAGCACACACAUUAGAUCCUCUACAGUAACACAUAACACAUCCCCUACACACUCCACUCCCUGUGAGCGAACUCAUGGGUGGAACAUGUAGGUGGACUUAUGGGUGGGCUUUAUGGGCAUACUCACCGUCAGGCCCUGGGGCCCAGACCUUGAGCUAUGUAAGAGGCC
Non-coding RNA from Pelobates cultripes (western spadefoot toad), 567 nucleotides. The record is from the annotation of a GenBank genome assembly. Lineage: Eukaryota; Metazoa; Chordata; Amphibia; Anura; Pelobatidae.